RNAcentral lists this transfer RNA (67 nucleotides) under bovine gut metagenome. It matches the Rfam family "tRNA". Rfam says of the family: Transfer RNA (tRNA) molecules are approximately 80 nucleotides in length. Their secondary structure includes four short double-helical elements and three loops (D, anti-codon, and T loops). The record is from RNAcentral.
UGUGUGGCGCAGCUGGAUAACGCAUCGGACUCCGACUCCGAAGAACGCAGGUUCGAAUCCUGUCACA